This 72-nucleotide transfer RNA is filed under the name Schistocerca americana (American grasshopper). RNAcentral describes it as "tRNA-Pro". It matches the Rfam family "tRNA". From Rfam's summary of the family: Transfer RNA (tRNA) molecules are approximately 80 nucleotides in length. Their secondary structure includes four short double-helical elements and three loops (D, anti-codon, and T loops). Further hydrogen bonds mediate the characteristic L-shaped molecular structure. tRNAs have two regions of fundamental functional importance: the anti-codon, which is responsible for specific mRNA codon recognition, and the 3' end, to which the tRNAs corresponding amino acid is attached (by aminoacyl-tRNA synthetases). tRNAs cope with the degeneracy of the genetic code in two manners: having more than one tRNA (with a specific anti-codon) for a particular amino acid; and 'wobble' base-pairing, i.e. permitting non-standard base-pairing at the 3rd anti-codon position. The record is from RNAcentral. Lineage: Eukaryota; Metazoa; Arthropoda; Insecta; Orthoptera; Acrididae.
GGCCUGAUGGUCUAGGGGUAUGAUUCCUGCUUUGGGUGCAGGAGGUCCCGGGUUCAAAUCCCGGACAGGCCC